Molecule: ribosomal RNA, 208 nt
Filed under: uncultured bacterium
Lineage: Bacteria
Description: partial 16S ribosomal RNA
Rfam family: Bacterial small subunit ribosomal RNA
Source: RNAcentral
UACGUAGGGUGCAAGCGUUAAUCGGAAUACUGGGCGUAAAGCGUGCGCAGGCGGUGAUGUAAGACAGGUGUGAAAUCCCCGGGCUUAACCUGGGAACUGCAUUUGUGACUGCAUCGCUGGAGUGCGGCAGAGGGGAUGGAAUUCCGCGUGUAGCAGUGAAAUGCGUAGAUAUGCGGAGGAACACCGGUGGCGAAGGCGGCCGAAGCUA